RNAcentral lists this ribosomal RNA (429 nucleotides) under Pseudomonadota bacterium. Its description in RNAcentral is "Proteobacteria bacterium partial 16S ribosomal RNA". It matches the Rfam family "Bacterial small subunit ribosomal RNA", at positions 355 to 776 of the family's 1533-position model. Lineage: Bacteria; Pseudomonadati; Pseudomonadota. The record is from RNAcentral.
UGGGGAAUAUUGGACAAUGGGCGAAAGCCUGAUCCAGCCAUGCCGCGUGUGUGAAGAAGGUCUUCGGAUUGUAACGCACUUUAAGUUGGGAGGAAGGGCAGUAAGCGAAUACCUUGCUGUUUUGACGUUACCGACAGAAUAAGCACCGGCUAACUCUGUGCCAGCAGCCGCGGUAAUACAGAGGGUGCAAGCGUUAAUCGGAAUUACUGGGCGUAAAGCGCGCGUAGGUGGUUCGUUAAGUUGAAUGUGAAAGCCCCGGGCUCAACCUGAGAACUGGAUCCAAAACGGGCGGGGUAGGGGAGGGCAGAGGGUGGUGGAAAUUCCUGUGUAGCGGUGAAAUGCGUAGAUAUAGGAAGGAACACCAGAGGCGAAGGCGACCACCUGGGCUCAUACUGACACUGAGGUGAGAAAGCGUGGGGAGCAAACAGG